UAGGAUUAAUGUCCUGUGCCACCAUUGCCC
This 30-nucleotide non-coding RNA is filed under the name Rattus norvegicus (Norway rat). The record is from RNAcentral. Lineage: Eukaryota; Metazoa; Chordata; Mammalia; Rodentia; Muridae.